UGGGCGCAAGCCUGAUCCAGCCAUACCGCGUGGGUGAAGAAGGCCUUCGGGUUGUAAAGCCCUUUUGUUGGGAAAGAAAUCCUGUCGAUUAAUACUCGGUGGGGAUGACGGUACCCAAAGAAUAAGCACCGGCUAACUUCGUGCCAGCAGCCGCGGUAAUACGAAGGGUGCAAGCGUUACUCGGAAUUACUGGGCGUAAAGCGUGCGUAGGUGGUGGUUUAAGUCUGCUGUGAAAGCCCUGGGCUCAACCUGGGAAUUGCAGUGGAUACUGGAUCACUAGAGUGUGGUAGAGGGAUGCGGAAUUUCUGGUGUAGCAGUGAAAUGCGUAGAGAUCAGAAGGAACAUCCGUGGCGAAGGCGGCAUCCUGGGCCAACACUGACACUGAGGCACGAAAGCGUGGGGAGCAAACAGGAUUAGAUACCUGGUAGUCCACGCCCUAAACGAUGCCAACUGGAUGUUGGGUGCAACUUGGGCACCCCAGUAUCGAAGCUAACGCGUUAAGUCCGCCGCUGGGGAGUANCNGGCCCAAGGCUAAAACUCAAAGGAAUUGACGGGG
RNAcentral lists this ribosomal RNA (556 nucleotides) under uncultured bacterium. Its description in RNAcentral is "bacterial SSU rRNA". It matches the Rfam family "Bacterial small subunit ribosomal RNA", at positions 372 to 918 of the family's 1533-position model. The record is from RNAcentral.